This 765-nucleotide long non-coding RNA is filed under the name Anser brachyrhynchus (Pink-footed goose). RNAcentral's name for it is "lncRNA (ENSABRG00000001237.1)". Lineage: Eukaryota; Metazoa; Chordata; Aves; Anseriformes; Anatidae. The record is from RNAcentral.
GAACUAAAGGACAACCAGACUGAUUCUAAUUUAGCUAGCUCUAACUGAAAUUAAAAAUGUAAAACUAUUCUACCUCUGUCCUUUGCCAAAUGUGACUGAGAAUCUGUCAAGAAAAUACCACUCUGAACAAAGGAGAGUGUUUUGUCUCCCACGAGGACCUAUGCAUGUACCAAGCCUGAGGAGACACAUUGUGCCAACAGUGGUGGAAGCCAAGUUCCUUUCCUUUGGGUGGAGUCCGUCUAGCAUGGCAAGAACUGUGGCCAUACUUCUAGUGUGAUGUGGAAAGAAGGUGGGGAAGUGGGUUAAGGAUUCCCAGAAAACAAAACAAACCAAAACAACAACAACAACAACAACAAACAGAACUAUAUUGUGGGACUGAUUUCCGACAUCUAGGAAUCUGCACUCCUUUCAUUCGCUUCAUGAUCUGCUGCGGGAUCAAACCUGCAACUUAGGAGAGGAAUGAAAUGGAACUGUGUGUACCUGCUGGGUUUUAUUAACCCUUGUUUUGGUUGUAAGCAGAAAAGUUGCCUUUUAUAAACCUUUUUUUUUAAUUACUCAGUUGUGUUCAUUCUUACACACAAAUUCUUUUUCCUUUAGCCUCAGUUCUAAUGUCUAGGAGUUGCUAGGCUCACUUGCAAGAAACUAAAUGUUCAUUACCAGUAUGAAAAAUCUGUUAUAAAAGUGUUCAGGAAAAUUUUUAAACACCAACAUUAGUUUCAUUGCAUUAUCACUCAUAUUAAUGUGUUAGGUAACUCAUAACUUUUU